This is a long non-coding RNA of Chinchilla lanigera (long-tailed chinchilla), 1622 nucleotides long. Lineage: Eukaryota; Metazoa; Chordata; Mammalia; Rodentia; Chinchillidae. The record is from Ensembl.
CGCCAAUUCCUCAAGGCUAUUUGUCCAGAACAGCGCCGAGCGCUCAUUCGGCACUCGGAGCGUGUUUUCCAACAAGAAAUGCGUCUUGGACUUGCUAUUCUCAGAACUAUGUCUUUGAUGGAGGUACAGUUGCUCCAAGGAACCCUAAGUCCUGAGCACAAGAGGCCACACCUGGGUAUCAAGGUGCCCAAAUGCAAGAAUCUCAGAGACCAAGUACUUUGUGUGCAUCUUACUGAGCCCUCACUUCAGCACCCUGACAGACACUGAGAUGGCAGAGAGCAGCGGGCCUCGGGAGGUAUGGAGUUUACCCUGCUCUCCCAGGACGACGCCAGGAGCCCGCAGGGUUUCCCUGUAAACCCGUCUCUGACACUGUGUGGGAUUCUCUGGACCGCAUUUCUGUAUGACAUCAGCACCAGCAGACCUAACCACUUCCUGCCUGGUUCCUCUCAGGCCUUGUCACCAGCCCGCCUGAGCUGUGUCACUGUGACCUCCCAGUCUGGAUAGAAAAUAAUGUGGGGUGGCCAGCAGCCAGGGAUAAAGGAAACAAGCACCCGAGGAAGCCAGCUUUGUGGGCCCUUCCCUCCCGCACGACUCUGUAGGUGGAGUCCUCCUGCAGACAGAGGGCGCUGGCCCGCAGGGAGGUCCACGUUGUUCAUCUCUAAGCCUGCAGGCUGCCUGAACUGAAACAUGGACAAAGUCGCAGAGACACCCAUGCCGAAGAGUUUGGCCAGCAAGUCUUGCCGUGACCUCCUCUGAAUUCACUCUGUCUGGGGCCUGUUCCACUUUUCCCCUCCCAGCCUGCAGUGGCCAGCCCUGCUGAGGUUGAAGUGGUAGCAAAGAUUCGCUUAACAAAUGUGUUCAAGAUCCUCAUAUGCGCCAGUACCUCCGACAGCGCUGCGUGAUUACUCCUUGGGGUACAGCAGGUGGCCAAGUGUAUGCUGGUUUCUGUGUGCUGCACCUAGCACCCUCAGGAGGCUUUGCUGAAAGUGCCUGGAAGUGGGAGUCUGCUCGAGGCAGCUCUUGGCCAGUGACUGGGCCAAGGGCUGUGGAAGUCAGUUCAGAGGCAUCCUUCCGAGUUCCUCAGCAGCAUGAGACUGAAGAAUCCUUAGGAGCAUCUUUGCCUAAAUUACACAGUUGCUUGCCUUUCUCCUACCCUGUCCUACAGUCCCCACCUAUGUAUCAGUUUUUCCUGGGAGUAUUUCUUCACAAAUCACAUGGAUUCUCAUGCCGGGGUCUCCUUCUAGGGAACUCCAAGACGGCACAUGAAGAAAGUAACCUUGCUUCAGGCUAAGUGCCAGUUUCUUUAAAAUGUAUAUAAUCCCCCCGGAAGCCUCUUUGACCUGCAAUGACAGUCCACAUUUCCCCUCUCCCACAUACACAUCUAGCCUCUCAUUCCAGGGGUUUGCCCAGCACUCACCAGGCUGCCAGUCUGACCCAGAAUUCUUGGAGGGCAGAAACGAUAUUUUAACUAUUAUCUGGAUUUUAAUUCAAAUGACAGAAUAAAACGAUGCAUUGCUCCCAACAGCCCUGCUGGGCAUGGAGGCAUGGGAAAGUCACUGGAAUGGGUGUAACACAACAGCUCUGCUGGGCAUGGAGGCAUGGGAAAGUCACUGGAAUGGGUG